Molecule: unclassified non-coding RNA, 212 nt
Filed under: plant metagenome
Description: partial contains small subunit ribosomal RNA, internal transcribed spacer 1, and 5.8S ribosomal RNA
Source: RNAcentral
UUUCCGUAGGUGAACCUGCGGAAGGAUCAUUCAUAAUAAGUGUUUUAUGGCACUUUUUUAAAUCCAUAUCCACCUUUGUGCAAUGUCAGGGUUGAUUUUUCUCUCGAGAGGAUCAGCCCCAAACAUCAACUAUAUCUCAACUCUUUGUCUGAAAAAUAUUAUGAAUAAAACAAUUCAAAAUACAACUUUCAACAACGGAUCUCUUGGCUCUC